Molecule: unclassified non-coding RNA, 181 nt
Filed under: uncultured Trichocomaceae
Lineage: Eukaryota; Fungi; Ascomycota; Eurotiomycetes; Eurotiales; Trichocomaceae
Description: sequence contains ITS1
Source: RNAcentral
CUGAGUGUGGACCCUCUGGGUCCAACCUCCCACCCGUGUCUCUUGAAUACCCUGUUGCUUUGGCGGGCCCACCGAGAAUUCUCGGUCGCCGGGGGGCAUCAUGCCCCCGGGCCCGCGUCCGCCAGAGCACUCUAUGAACCCGAAUGAAGAUAGACUGUCUGAGUACAAUGAAAAUUAUUUA